RNA transcript from Glycine soja, 2675 nucleotides. It is a transcript of the gene named SOSS complex subunit B homolog, with no coding region annotated. The transcript is spliced from 5 exons. Lineage: Eukaryota; Viridiplantae; Streptophyta; Magnoliopsida; Fabales; Fabaceae. The record is from RefSeq and is a predicted model, not a curated record.
CUGAGACGGCGUGUUUUGAGCAACAUCGUUGAAAGGAGUAGUAUUUGUGAAGUGUAAUAGAGACUGAGAGAGAAAGGGGGGAAAUGGGUAUGUGAUGAGAGUGAGAUUGGCGUCGUUCUUCACCGGGGCUGCAGCGGCGUCGUUUCUGGGGCUCUACACCCUCCACAAGGAUUACAAGGUCCCGCACCAAUCCUUUACUCAACAGAUCCCAUCAUCAUGAUAGACAUUGCUCGUCUCCCACACUUUGUGUAAAUCUUCUCAAAAGCAAACAAAAGACAGAAAACAUAUAUUACAAAGUAUAAUUAAGGCAGGACAAUUUUGGGAGAAGUGGAGAUAAAGAGUUGGUGGAGGGCGCGGGUGCGAGAUCUGAGAUCGAGGGUUUCUUAGCAACACAGAACAAAGCAGAAGAAGCAACAUAGUGCCCUCUCUCUCUCUCCCUCUCUCUCUGGGAAGAACAAAGCAGAAGAAGCAACACAGAACAGAACCAUCGAACCCACUCAGAACCACCGUGCUUCGAAGUAACGGCGUGAAAAACUGCUCCGCAACUCGCGCCGCUCCGCCGUGAUAACGGCUGCUCCAGCCACGACCCGAAACCGCCCUGCUACACACAUGUACGUUGCGGAUGGGUGCCGCUCCGCUCCGCCUGACAACUAUGCUACAGACAUAAAUUACAGUAGGAAGGAGGAAGGAACGAAGCGGAAGCGGAAGCGAAAUCGCUUUGUCUCUAUAUUGAGCCACUUUGAAUCUGUCGCCGCAACGGUAGAUCAAAUCGAGUUUCACCUGAAUGCUCUUUCUGGAUGCGAUUUAGAGUAACAGGGUCUGAUGCCUGUGGAUUGUAUCGAGUCAGAGCUGGUGGAUCUCUCCCAUAUAAUGCUUUAAAUGGUGUCAUACCAAUGCUGGUGUGAAAUGAUGUGUUGUACCAAAACUCUGCCCAAUUUAAAGCCUUGUACCAAGCUUUUGGAUUGUGAAAAGUGAAAUACCUGAGAAACAUCUCCAAGCACUUGUUCACUACUUCUGAUUGGCCAUCGGAUUGAGGAUGGUAGGUUGAGGACAUGGCCAAUGUGGUACCCUGCAAUUGAAAUAAGUUCUUCCAGAAAUUGCUAGUAAAAACCUUAUCCCUGUCAGACACUAUUGACUUAGGCAUUCCAUGUAAUUUAACCACAUGAGUCAUGAAUAACUCAGCUACAAACCUGCUCGUGUAAUCCCCUUUGAGUGCUAUGAAAUGACCAUAUUUUGAUAAACGGUCUAUUAUUACCAGAAUAGUAUUGAAGCCAUACGAAUUUGGUAGGCCAGUGAUAAAUCCAUUGCUAUAUCCUCUCAUAUAUGUGAUGGUGUAGGCAGUGGCUGCAGCAGCUCAGCAGCUUUGGUAUGUAAAGUUUUUGCUUGUUGACAAAUUGCACAAGAUCGAACAAAUUGUUGCACAUCAUGCUUCAAAUCUGGCUAGUGAAACUGUUGUGUCACAUUUGUGGGUGGUGGCCACUCAUGGAUUGCCUGAACCAUACUACUACCCAUAGAUACUCCUUGUUCUGGAAACUAUGUGUCCCAAGUAUUCAAUUUCCAAUACUCCAAAUGAACACUUUGACAACUUCACAAACAAUACAUGUUGUUUAAGGACUCGUAGCACAUUUUCCAGAUGUGUCAAAUGUUCUUGGUCUAGCAUUUCAUGCACCAUCUUCUCAAUUUGUUCUUUCUGGCUAUGAGGAUAUCUUCACGGUUUGACUUUGACUUGCUGCGUACCCUCCAAAAGUGGAAUAACAUGAUUUUGACUUCUAGCAGGUGGUAAUGAUGUUGGAGUUUGGAACAUUGAACUGUAAGUGUGCAGCAAUAGGGCAAUCUCUGGGGCUAUAUGUGGUGGUAAAUCUUUCAAAACAUCAUCCUCAGUGUGGAACUGAAAUAGCUGAACAGUAAAUGAAUCAGCAAUAGCAUCAAUAUUCACAUCCUUCUGUAAUGAUUGAAUUGAGCCAUUUUAGGUGAUGUGCCUCUCUCCUUGUAAUGUCACAAAUUUUCCAUUGUAGAUAAAUUUUAGUGUCAAAGCUGCAUAGUCUGCCACAUGUGGGCCUAAAGUAGCCAGCCAUGAAUCCUGCCAUAGGCAAUAAGAAUACAGGUACUCUCAACUCAUAUCCUUGUAAUGUGAUGGACAAAUUAGGGACCACUCCCUCAACAGUCAUAGAUUGGCCCAAAACUUUGAAACAAGGACCUGGUUCCACCGGGAGUUUAAGAAAUUCAGCAAUUUGGGGUUGUAAAAAAUUAUCUGAACUUCCUCCAUCAACCAAGACUUGUACACGGAUUUGCCCAAUUUGACAUGUGAAUCACAAAAUACCCAUGCUAUCGGUCCCUUUCAUUGCAUUCAGAGAAAGAUGGUGGAUGAACAACUUCAAGAAAUUACAUUGAAGAUUUGAUAAUAUGUUGUCUCGUUGCUUCAUGUUUGGGAGAUGAGUUGAGAAUUAUUUUUUUUUUCUUCUUUGUAUUUAACUUGCCUUGGUUCUUAUUUCUUAUUUAUUUUAGUAUUUGACAUUAAGAUUUUCGAAUGGAACUUAUAGUAUUUUACUUAGCUUGCUUAUUUUGUUUAUAAUUUUUUUUUGAAUACUUAAAGUGUUCCGAUUAUAAUUCUUACUUGAAUCAUUGUGAUUAGUGAAUUUUAAUCACAUAUUAGAGCGCUCUAAUUAAUUUUAACU